Non-coding RNA from Benincasa hispida (wax gourd), 1968 nucleotides. Lineage: Eukaryota; Viridiplantae; Streptophyta; Magnoliopsida; Cucurbitales; Cucurbitaceae. The record is from RefSeq and is a predicted model, not a curated record.
AAGAAAAUUGAUGAAACUGAAACCGAAAGAGUUGUCUUUGAAGUUUUGAUUCAGUAUGACUAUUGGGUGUAAAGAUUAUGAACAAAUACCAUUGAUUCGACAAAAUUUUCAAGAUCGAAUGUAAGGGCUUCUCAUUCUCGUAGCCGAUUCUUUGGCCUCCCCCACGCUUCAGAGCGAUGUUCCUCAACAAAGCCGCCUCCAAAAUCCUUCAAAAAAGCCGCCAAAAUUCUCCUUAUACCUUCAUUCAGAAGUCCGGUUAUGUCGAUGUCUACAUGAAGUGGAAGAAAGAUUCAUAUUACGAUUCGAUCGAGCAUAUCCUCAAAUCCGCUGAACUCAAAUCCAUUCUCUCUCUCAAAAAUUGCAUCGCCCAAGACCCAAAUGGGUGCAUCCCAAUUUCCGCCGUCUCAAAGCGAGGGCUCGAAAUGGGCGUCUCGAUCAGGGUUGCAAGCUUUUUAAGGCUCUACCCAUCAAUUUUUGAAGAGUUUACAGGUCUGGAGUACAAUCAUCCUUGGUUCAGGUUGACCCCAAAAGCAGUUGAGAUUGAUGCCGAGGAAAAAAGGGUUUAUCAGAAUUGCAGGGAGGAUUUGAUUUGUAGGUUAAAGAAGUUCAUAUUGAUGAGCAAGAACCGCGUUCUACCUUUGAAGAUUAUUCAAGGUAUGCAAUGGUAUUUAGGGAUUCCUGAUGAUUUUUUGCAAAAACCAGAAGUUAAUCUUGAUGGGUCUUUUAAGUUAGUGAAGAUGGAAGAUGGAUUAGAGGGAUUAGCUGUGGAAUGUGAGGAGAAAUUCAUGUCUGUGAUCCAGAAAAACGCCAUUAAAAGGGGGGUUUAUUCUGGUGGAAGAAUGGAGCCACUUGAAUUCCCACUCUUCCCUUCAAAGGGUUUAAGGCUGAGGAGGAAGAUCGAGGAUUGGUUAAAUGAGUUUCAAAAGCUUCCUUAUGUAUCUCCUUAUGAAGGUUUUCCCCAUUUCGAUCCAAAUAGUGAUAUAGCAGAGAAAAGAUUGGUGGGGUUUCUCCAUGAAAUGCUUAGUUUGUUUGUUGAACAUUCAGCAGAAAGGAAGAAGCUUCUAUGCCUUAAAAAGUAUAUGGGUUUGCCUCAGAAGGUUCAUAAGGCAUUUGAGAGACAUCCUCACAUGUUUUACUUGUCUUUGAAGAACAAGACUUGUACUGCUAUUCUUAAAGAGGCUUAUUGUGAUAAAUCUUCCAUUGAGAGGCACCCCAUAUUGAGAAUCAGGCGAAAGUACAUCAAUCUGAUGAAGGAGUCUGAAGUGAUUUUGAAGAAUAGGAGGUUUAAUAAUCAUCUUGUUCAUAGAGAAAAUUUGGUGUUGGACUUGGAUUUGGAUGCUGCUGAUGAAGAUGGAAGAGAAAUUCCCAAGUGUUAAUGGUUGAGUGCCUUUAGAGAUGUUGGGAGGUUUGGGCACCGACACCUUUGGGAUUUAAAGAUUUUAGUACUUUUCCUUCACCUUUGGAGCCCUUUUGUGUAUUUUGUAGCCGGGUUUCAUAAUGAUUUGAUUUUUAUUUUUUGAAAAUACCUUGUAUUCUUUCAAAAGGUCAAGCCGUUCUUCAAGAGUCAAAGUGGUUCCUAUCCUAAUCUCUUGGGGUCGAAACAGGAAGGAUAAACAAACCCUAAUGAGAUUACAUUACUGAUUGAGUACUCCCUGAGGGGACCGAGUGGCGGCCUCGACCUGAGUGGAAGUGCGAUGUGUUUGGAAACUCGAACCCAGAUUUCUUGUUUCAUUGAGAUCCAUAGAAAACCGUGUCACCAAAAAUCAACCAAAGAUGAAGAUGAGGGCUGGCAGUUUACAAAUGCUUGGUUGCUUGAAACUUCAAUUUAGGCAGCAGGAGACUGACUUGCUGCAAAUGGGCAAACUGCUCUAUGACGAAGAGAACGAGGAAGAUGACGACUGUCCAAUUCUCCUUUCUGCAAGCAAGGAACAAACAAGUUUAGCAUGAUGAGUUGCGACCACACCUAGA